Long non-coding RNA from Haemorhous mexicanus (house finch), 369 nucleotides. RefSeq lists it as uncharacterized. The record is from RefSeq and is a predicted model, not a curated record. The transcript is spliced from 2 exons. NCBI's taxonomy places the organism in Eukaryota, Metazoa, Chordata, Aves, Passeriformes, Fringillidae.
GAGCUUGAUGGGGAAGUAUCAAGAGCUGAAGCUUAUCUACAGUGCCCUGGAAGUAAUGGCAAAUGACAUCAGCCCCUCUGUCAGCAGCCUGUCAAUUCAAACUUGGCAUAUCCUCAGGGCAUUAGACAGACCUCGAUAUUCCACCUUCAGGAAUCUGCAUGGUGAGCUCCGUGGGCCAUGGAGGACAAGGCUUCGUCUGCUGGGGCUCAGCUGCCUGCGCUGCUGGAGCUCUGCACAGAGAUGAGCCCAGAGGCUCUGUCUGCUGGGGCCACCUGAGCCAGCAGAGAUUUUCAGUUUGUUCAAGACUGUUCUUUUCUUCUUUUUGUUUUUCUUUAGUAUAUAAAUAUAGGAUGUGUUAUAAUAGACAGA